UACGUAGGGUGCAGGCGUUACUCGGAAUUACUGGGCGUAAAGCGUGCGCAGGCGGCCUCUUAAGUCAGAUGUGAAAUCCCCGGGCUUAACCUGGGAACUGCGUUUGAAACUGGGAGGCUAGAGUGUGGAAGAGGGGGGUGGAAUUCCAGGUGUAGCAGUGAAAUGCGUAGAGAUCUGGAGGAACACCGAUGGCGAAGGCAGCCCCCUGGGCUGACACUGACGCUCAUGCACGAAAGCGUGGGGAGCAAACAGG
RNAcentral lists this ribosomal RNA (253 nucleotides) under uncultured bacterium. Its description in RNAcentral is "partial 16S ribosomal RNA". It matches the Rfam family "Bacterial small subunit ribosomal RNA", at positions 524 to 776 of the family's 1533-position model. The record is from RNAcentral.